Molecule: long non-coding RNA, 859 nt
Organism: Nicotiana tabacum (common tobacco)
Lineage: Eukaryota; Viridiplantae; Streptophyta; Magnoliopsida; Solanales; Solanaceae
Source: RefSeq, a predicted model, not a curated record
UCCCAUGCCACAAGAAUUUAUUCUUGAGUUUGUUCAAAAUUUUCUGAAUAUUAGAAGUUAAAUGGAAUAAGGACAUAACAUAAGUAGGCAGAGAGUCUAGGACAGAAUUGAUAACAGUAAGUCGUCCUUCCAAAGAUAAAGUUUGAGCCUUCCAACUAGCCAAUUUUUUUCCUAUUUUUUUCACUAUUCCAUCCAGAUUUCCCCUGCUUUGUGUUUUCUGCCUAAAGGCAUGCCAAGGUAAGUUGUAGGCAAGUUCUCCACUUCACAUCCUAAAAUCUUAGCAAGAUUCUGUAUGUUUGAGAGUGACCUAUCUGUCAUACAAAAGUACCGCAGACUUCUUGUAUUCGCACCAGUUGUCAAGUUGAUUGACACGCGUUAGCUAUCAGGAAAAUUUAGGAGUAAUAACCAAAAUACCCUUUAGUAGCAGCUAACAAGCAGACAUGUCGUCCAGAUGUGUGCUAAUAAGGAGAGUUAGCAGAUACCUGGACGAUAUGUCUGCCUCACUCUUCAAGGGCAUACAGGUCUUUGAGUCUUUCAGUAUCAUCAAUAUCAGAAAAGCUCUACCAUCUGCCAGUUUUCCAGUUUUGCAAUGGUUUGAAAGAUCUUCUUCUGAUAUUUUGGUUCGUUUUCCUGUCGGGUUUCUCUGAAGAACAGUUGGCAUUCGUAUACUUGUCCUUUCAACAGUUUAACGGUCCACCUGGGAACCGGCAAUUGUGAGAUAUUAUUUGGACCAAAAUCAAAAGAAGGGUAUAAUUACUCUGUUUAAUAUAGUUGAAGGGUAUUUUUGGUCCUUUUUUCUUAAAUCUAUAUGUAGCUAGUUCAUUGGUCUUUAUGUUCACAAAAAUUUGAUUGUUGUUCA